This 194-nucleotide ribosomal RNA is filed under the name uncultured bacterium. RNAcentral describes it as "partial 16S ribosomal RNA". It matches the Rfam family "Bacterial small subunit ribosomal RNA", at positions 1307 to 1500 of the family's 1533-position model. The record is from RNAcentral.
GCAACUCGCCUGCAUGAAGUUGGAAUUGCUAGUAAUCGCGAAUCAGAAUGUCGCGGUGAAUACGUUCCCGGGCCUUGUACACACCGCCCGUCACACCAUGAGAGUCGGGAACACCCGAAGUCCGUAGCCUAACCGCAAGGGGGGCGCGGCCGAAGGUGGGUUCGAUAAUUGGGGUGAAGUCGUAACAAGGUACC